This is a small nucleolar RNA of Lepisosteus oculatus (spotted gar), 148 nucleotides long. Lineage: Eukaryota; Metazoa; Chordata; Actinopteri; Semionotiformes; Lepisosteidae. The record is from Ensembl.
CUUCAGUGAUGAUACGAUGACGAGUCUGAACAGGACACAGCCUGUCUCUGGUGUUCUGACUCCUGGCCACGUUCUGUGUCCUUGAGUUCAGGCGCCUAGGCAGAGUGUCCUUACUGUUUGAUGACAUAGAGGCAUUUGUCUGAGAAGG